GUAGGGAAUAUUGCACAAUGGGGGGAACCCUGAUGCAGCCAUGCCGCGUGUGUGAAGAAGGCCUUCGGGUUGUAAAGCACUUUCAGCGGGGAGGAAAUUAAGUUAGACGUUACCCGCAGAAGAAGCACCGGCUAACUCCGUGCCAGCAGCCGCGGUAAUACGGAGGGUGCGAGCGUUAAUCGGAAUAACUGGGCGUAAAGGGCACGCAGGCGGGCUGAUAAGUAAGGUGUGAAAUACCGGGGCUCAACCUCGGGGCUGCAUUUUAAACUGUCAGUCUAGAGUAUUGCAGAGGGAGACGGAAUUCCGGGUGUAGCGGUGAAAUGCGUAGAUAUCCGGAAGAACACCGGAGGCGAAGGCGGUCUUCUGGGCAAAUACUGACGCUCAGGUGCGAAAGCGUGGGGAGCAAACAGGAUUAGAAACCCCGGUAGUCC
RNAcentral lists this ribosomal RNA (431 nucleotides) under uncultured bacterium. Its description in RNAcentral is "bacterial SSU rRNA". It matches the Rfam family "Bacterial small subunit ribosomal RNA", at positions 354 to 796 of the family's 1533-position model. The record is from RNAcentral.